This 119-nucleotide ribosomal RNA is filed under the name Lepisosteus oculatus (spotted gar). Lineage: Eukaryota; Metazoa; Chordata; Actinopteri; Semionotiformes; Lepisosteidae. The record is from RNAcentral.
GCCGGCAGCCAUAUCACCCUGCAACUCACAACUGGCAACCCACUGAAGCUAAGCAGGUGUGAGCCUGGUCAGCACCUGGAUGAGAGAGCUCCUGGAAAAAACUAAGGUUGCUGCUGGAA